Molecule: long non-coding RNA, 699 nt
Filed under: Ananas comosus (pineapple)
Lineage: Eukaryota; Viridiplantae; Streptophyta; Magnoliopsida; Poales; Bromeliaceae
Description: long non-coding RNA (ACOM_LNC040564)
Source: RNAcentral
ACGGGACCAACACGCGAAAAAAUAAUUUACUAAGAGAAAAGAUUACAAGGUGAUUACCGACUCCACGGACUUAACCUCUCUUAACCUCCUAUGAAUCUUCGCGCUACCCUCCGGGUUGUCCACGCCCUCACGUUCGAAUCCACGAACGCCUCCACUUCGAAUCCACAAAGCUUUAAUCACGCCGAAUCCACGACGCCACUCGAAUCCACGAGCCCACGAUCCGAAUCCACGAACCGCCGUCAAAAACGUCGAAUCCACGACGCCACCAUGAAGAGUAUCAUGAUUAUGGUGAUCCUUCGUUUAGGAGUAUCGUAGAAAACCAGGGAAUAGAAUUCCAAGCGAAGCGGAGAUCAAAUCGACAUAUUAAUAUCAAAUUUCAAUAUCUCGAUUUGAUCUAAAAGAGGCUUUUUGUAGAAAAUAGGUUUUAGAUGAAAUCCGAGCCUCUAGGGUUUCUCAAAUAUGUAUUUUCGUGAUGCUUAAUAUGUUAGAGAAGCCCAAUAGCUUAUUUAUAGACUUUAGAAUCAAUUGGAGUCGGAUUAGAAAGUUUUCACGAUUUUACACUGUGUACCGGUACACUUUAGGCUGUCACCGGUUACACGAUGACGGAACGAAAAACCAGACGAAACAGUGAAACCGGUUACAUCUUUGAUGGUCGUACCGGUACACAAUUUGUACCGGUACACUUCUGAUGAUGUACCG